GACGAACGCUGGCGGCGUGCUUAACACAUGCAAGUCGAGCGGUAAGGCCCUUUUGGGGGGUACACGAGCGGCGAACGGGUGAGUAACACGUGGGUGACCUGCCCUCAGCUCUGGGAUAAGCCUGGGAAACUGGGUCUAAUACUGGAUAUGACCUUUCCUCGCAUGGGGUUGGGUGGAAAGUUUUUCGGCUGGGGAUGGGCCCGCGGCCUAUCAGCUUGUUGGUGGGGUGAUGGCCUACCAAGGCGACGACGGGUAGCCGGCCUGAGAGGGCGACCGGCCACACUGGGACUGAGACACGGCCCAGACUCCUACGGGAGGCAGCAGUGGGGAAUAUUGCGCAAUGGGCGGAAGCCUGACGCAGCGACGCCGCGUGGGGGAUGACGGCCUUCGGUUG
RNAcentral lists this ribosomal RNA (394 nucleotides) under uncultured bacterium. Its description in RNAcentral is "bacterial SSU rRNA". It matches the Rfam family "Bacterial small subunit ribosomal RNA", at positions 28 to 425 of the family's 1533-position model. The record is from RNAcentral.